This is a non-coding RNA of Rattus norvegicus (Norway rat), 8692 nucleotides long. Lineage: Eukaryota; Metazoa; Chordata; Mammalia; Rodentia; Muridae. The record is from RefSeq and is a predicted model, not a curated record.
CCCCUCAAAUUGACUGUGCCUGGUCUAAGGUUUGGUAUUUCUUUAUUUUAUUUUUGUUACUGGAUUUUUAUAUUCUUAGGUUAUUUUAAUGUGCAAGUAGCAAAAUCUUAAGCAGAUCUUGCUUAAAGGAAAGCGAGACUCAUUGCCUUUUAUAAAUUGAAGAGUAGAGGUAAGUGCUGUGGCCUUCAGAAUUCAAAGGGACCGUGGGACCCGUGUCCGUUUCUUGGCCCCGUUUCCUGGUGGUGGCAGCUUGGUCCCAUCCAUCACAGGCAAUAGUGUACCACAUCCUCUCAGUUUCAGGUCUUGCCAGAACAAAAACUCUUGAGUUUUCUUCUUAAGGUCUCCACGAAGAACGUGAACAUAGCUGUCACUGUUUCGGAAGUGAUCACUGUGGCUGGCGUCCGGAAGCAAGGGCAAAGAGUGAUACACAUAACUGGGAAGACACACCCAUCUUAGUCCUUCCCUACAUCAUCAGCCGGGCUAUUAGAGCAACUCGUUCUCCUUCAUUCACCCUAUAGAAGACCCAGGCUGGGGUGGAAGGGAGAUCUGAGUUGUAAAGUCGUUUAUAAUAUAGUCAUCAGGGUCUCAAUGAACAAGCACCACAGAGACUCUAUCAAGAAGUGUAUCUGUCUCCAGAGAACUGUGCUUCUGGUCGUCUACUGACAAGGGGAAGAAGCUGAGGAGGUGAUGUUACCAGAGCUACUUUGCUGGCAUUGGUGAGGAUUCCCAGGAAGGCUUCAGGGUGUUGCCAUGCAGUCCAGAGGCUACUGUCCUCACGUUGAGACUCCCACCAGAGAUACAUCUGCCUGAUUUCUCCUCAUCCUGCAUCAUUCAUGAGGCAAGACCCAGCAACCUCUGCUCACAGGACUGCUUUCCUGUCUUGUAAAGACAACACCUCCAUCUUCCGAAGGUACUCCACUGAGGAAAAUGUCUCUACAUCCCCCAUCAUUCGUUAACUGCUCAAAGAGGGGUAGUGGGGCCUCAAGAGUCCAGCCUUGCUCUACGCCAUGAUGCUUCCGGCUCCAUCUUGUUCAGGCACUAUGUGGGCUGGAGGAAAUGCUCAGUGGAUAAAAGAGCUGGCUGGGGAAACGUGAGGACUGGCGUUCGUACCCCUAGAACCCAUGUACCGGACAAAGGACAAUCAGUCACACGUUGGAUUCCUGGAGUGUUGUGAUAUGGAUUGAGCAUACUCCGUUCAGAGACGCUGAAUGAUCAAUGGAAUAUUUUUGAAAAGCGCAGGCCUCCCCUGGAUAUCAACCGUGCAUAUCAAGCUCUGGGGUGGAACAGCUUUCUGCUUUCCCUUCUCUCACAACGAUGGGCAUUAGCUCACUGCAAGGACUUUCUGAAACCAAAUGUCAUUGAUCAGAUGCUCCACGAGGAGCACGUAGCUUUUGCAGUGCCAUCCUUUACUGAGGACAAGGAAGAAGCAAGAGAAACUACUGGGAAGGAAGAAACGAAAGAAGGCAGAAAAGAAGAGAAUGAAGCAAGGGGGAUGAAUAGACAAGAGACACAUGGACGGAAGGAAGGACGGACAUAAAGUGAGAUAAGUACUGCUGGAUGGUAAUUCAGGGUCAUUAGGAUGAAGCUAUUCCCAUGGCAAGUGUCUUCCUGAGCACCACCCCCUCCUCUCACCACAAAGUGAUAAACCAGCCAGGGGAAAUGAGAGGAGUACAAAUCACUUAGCCAGUACUUAUGGGAUUUUACUUAGACCCCCAUACGUAUUAUGCCAGGAUUAGUGUCAGCCCUCUGAAAAUGCAAAAGCAGUAAGACGACCACAUGGUGUGGACUGUACCCCCCGAUGACUAUUUCAGCCAGCUGUAAUUAUCAUGUUCAUCUGGAAGCUGAGUGGUUCCAGUAAUAGAAAUGGGUCACGGGAAGUGUGGGUUAUUGUCCUGGUAUGUCAUUAUAUGACCUUGGUUGGCCGAGCUCUAGGCCUUGGUUUCUUUAUUUGUUAAAUGUGGACAUGAAUUUCCUGUCCUGACUAUUUCACAGGGGCACUGGGGAGAUGAGGCAUGGAAGGUUAUGUACCCACAUACUUCGAUGAAGAUGAAAUGCCAGGAAAAUGUAAAACUGACCUUGGGCCUUUUCACUUAAAAAAGUGGUGGGUAGGUGGGAGAGGGGGUUGGUAGGAUGGUAUUAUGUGCAGAAGGCUUGGUGACUCAAAGAAGCAUCUUUUUUCUCCCCAGUAAUAUCUAGUCUGGGAUUAUUACUGCUUUCUUGGUGAUUUUCAGGCAUUCCCUUCUCCUUCAGAAACGCCAAAGGAGCAAACACUAUUCUGCUGCUGUAAUUUGUCACCCUUGCAGCCUGAGCAAGAUGCACAGAGACGGUUCAGUAAUUAAGCUUUUCAACGGGCAUCAUAAAGGUUUAUUCUGGCAAAGGCUAUAUUUAUCAGCUAACAAGUAUUAAAUCACCCCACUGCUCAAGCCGUUUCUCACUUGAAUAUGCUCCUUUCAAAACACAGCAGCUUUCCCUGCCUGGCUUGACUAAUAAAAGUCCUCACUUGGAAAUACGGUGGCAAUGUGUGGUCUUGUGAAGUAGACGUGCACCCCAGCACUGUUUUAAGCUUGGUUGACUCCCAUCUUCCUGAGGGGGUAAUGGUGGACUUCUUUGCCCUGCAGUCUUUUAUAGCAUCCUUCCAAUAGCUACUAGAACAUGGACUUCCUUAGCUAUUUCUUCGAAAGGGGAAGAAGCAGGUGGAAGUUCAAAUGCAGCAGGGGUCUUCAGCAUGACUGAAACAGUGAGGUGACAAUGAUCUCGGUUCUGAGGAGGAUGGAGUCUCUGCUCACAUUGGAACAUCUUAACAAAAUUGUAGAAUAAUAUGCUUAGAAUGAACAGCUAUGAAAUAUCUUAGGAAUGUCUUGCAAGAAUGAUUCCACUACUAACCCAUCUCCCUCUUUACAAGUUUUUUCCCUCCCUUGUAGGAUAUAAGUAUUCCAUUGUUCAUAAAGGUUCGAGACAUUUUCUGUCCAAUGACUUCAGAUGUAUAUCUGUUUAAAACAAAAUAGUAAAAACAACUGAAUGAAUUUUUUAGGUAUUUGAAGAGAAAAUAAAGACAAAUAUUAAUCAAACAUGGACAAGAAUCAUGCAAUAAAUCAAUUUUCAUUAUUUUACAUCAGAAACUGCAAUUUAUUUAUCCUUUCUAUGCUUUCAAAUGGAGUGACAUUAGCCAUAUGCAGGCACUUUUGUGUUUUAGUUUUGCCCAUUCAUUGAUAAAAGGCGAGCUAUCCUCACAUGCCAGAAGAACAGAUCCAAAUUUGUUGAUAAACCAGAGGAUUCUGCUAGUGCUUGUGUAGGUAUGCAUUUUGCAUACGUAACAUACACGAAAGUGAAUGUAAUUUAAGCACUACCAAGGGACAAACUCUUUGGAUAAAUGCUUCCUAGUUUAGGAGCUGAGACAAUUAUUUCUUUGCUUUCAAAACGAAAUAGGGGCUGGAGGUGUAUCUCAGUACAUAGGGUACUUGCCUACCAUGCAGAAAGCCCUGGGCUUAGAACCCAGCAUCACAUGAACGGUGCAUGGUGGUUUGGAUGGUUUGAAUGAGAAAGGCACCCAUAUAUUUGGGUGAAAUGGCACAUAUAGUCAAGUGUUUGCUUCCCAGUUGGUGGAACUGUUAGGAAGGACUAGGAAGUAUGUCCUUAUUGGAAGAGGUUUGCCAACUCUAGGAGGGUUUUGAAGUUUCAAAAACCCAUGUCAGUUAGCUCUCUACCUCUUGGUCGUGCCUCAAGAUAUAAGCUCUCAGAUAUUGUCCCAGUGCCAUGCCUGCCUUCCUGCUGCUCCUCGCCAUGAUGGUCAUGGACUCAUUCUCUGAAAUUGUGAGCCCCAAUAAACUCUUUUUGUUCUGCAAGUUGUCUUGUUCAUGCUGCUUCAAUACAGCAACAGGAAAGUAACCAAGAUAGUAGUAUACACAGCAUUUAAGAGGCACAUAUAGGAGGAUAAUAAACUCAAGGUCAUCUUUGGUUAAUAGCAAAUUUGAGGCCAGCCUUAAAUCUUUUAAAAAAUUAUUUAAAAAUUAAAAUUUCAGCUUCUUCUUUUCUUCUUCUUCUUCUUUUCUUCUUCUUCUUCUUCUUCUUCUUCUUCUUCUUCUUCUUCUUCUUCUUCUUCUUCUUCUUCUUCUUCUUCUCCUUCUCCUUCUCCUUCUCCUUCUCCUUCUCCUUCUCCUUCUCCUUCUUCUUCCUCCUCCUCCUCCUCCUCCUCUUCUUCUUCUUCAUCAUCAUCAUCAAUCAUCAAAAAAUAAAAUUACACCAUUUUCCCCUUCCCCUUUCCUUCCUCAAACUCCUCUCUUAUCCAAUCUCCACUCUCAAUUUCAUGGUCUCUUGUCUUCAUAUAUUGUUACGUGUAUGUAUAAAUACAUAAAUAAUACUUGCUAAGUCUGUUGUUUAGUAUUGCUUUCUGGUUGUGAUCUCAGAGCUGACCACUUGGAAUUGAUAAUCAGGUAGGAGGCUUCCCUCUGGGAAAUACCAAUUUUCUGUCUCUCGGCAUUCCUUAGUUUACUGUGGCUCAGUGUUCAGGGGUGGGGCUCCAUGGGAUUCCCCUAUCAUGUCUAUUGGUGUCCUUGUUCAGGUCUCAUUUAGACAGUCACACUAUUGAGGUAUCAUGGGCAUAUCUUCCCUGUUAUUUCUAGGAGACACAAUUUCACAGCAGAUUUCUUGGUCUUUUGGCUUUUACAAUCUUUCUGCCUCCUCUGAUGUUCCCUGAGCUUUAGGAACAGCCAUUGUAUUGUAGUUGUAGCCCCAGGGGCCAAGCACCUCAUGAUCAGUUGCUCUUAGCAUUUUGGCCAGUUGUAGUUUUCAGUGGUCUCCAUCUGACAAAGAAAGACUUCCUUGAUGAGGGAUAAAUACAGUUCAGAUGAAGUUAUGCUAUUUAGGCAGGCAAUGCUACUACAAGAGCCAUAGACUAACAACAAAACACCUCCAGCCAUGGGAAAAAUCCCAUUUGAAUUGUUGGCCAGGGGAAUCCCUAAACACUAUAUCCUAUUGUUGUUGCCCUUUGCUGCCUCCGGAGAUUGAAGGCGAGACUCUGUUGUUGAAGACACUAUACACUUUGGAAGUAGGACAUAGAAGAUAAGGGUAGGGUCUGGCCUGAACGUCUCCUCCGUGAGACGAGUUCUCACAGUACUGGAAGGUGCUAUGUAAGCUGGCCAAAAGGAGACGGAAGGAAUCACUAGUCGUCUCUGUUUGUGAUACCCAUGAACACAGCAAUGAUCAGCAAGGCACGAUAUCCCCAAGGCUGCAAUAGAAGCAGUCCUAUCGUGGUAGUAACCAACUGCUGUCUAAUAGGACUCAAACCGUCUCAGCAAGAUGAAACUCAUGUCUAAUACUGGAAACUUAGCGGACUCCCCAGAUUUCAUAAGGUUAUAGAUUUUAGAGAAGAGCCCAUGACUACCACUUUACUACACGAGCAUGACUUAUAACAGGAUUAGCAACAUUUAACCUUACACCCACACAAUCUAUUUUUAAAAGGCAAAAAUAGCAUUAUUUUGCUUUCCAAAUUAACAACACACAGCUUGCUUGAAAAUCUUAGGUUCAAUUUCUCUCAAGCCAGCCAUCAUGGGACCAAACCCUGAAGUACAUGGGUGACAUGCCAAACUGCUAUGUUAGGGACUAUUGAGUGGUUUGAAAUGUAUCUAUUUUCUGUUUAGGAGGGUUUUUGUUGAACAACAGGAAAUUCAUUAUCUAUGACAUAGUCCGAGUACCAUAACGGACAGCAGCAGCCACAGGGGACCUGGUGUUAAAGAUUGAUAGACUUCCUCUCAGUUUCUGUUUAACUUUUAUCUCACAUGUGAAGACUGGAGUUUGCCUUAAGGGUAAAAAAGCAUUGUGUGACUUGAAAAAUGAAGAUGAUUCAUGUCAUUUUUCUGACAACCUACAGGGGGUCCCUUUGUGGCUCGAGCAGUUCUUCAAACUGUAGUCUAUGGGACUGACUACUCAGAGUCUUAAUAACUCAGAAAGUAAACGAGAAACAGAAGUUAUUUCAUGUUUUGGAGAAAUCUUGCAUUUCAAUUAUAUGUGUGAGGCUGUAAGAUGAGGUUUGGUAGUGAUUGUUGAAAACUGAAGUUUUCAAAUGGAUAAUAAAGGUUUCCCAUGAAAGAGAACUUUGAUUUAGAAUAAUUCUGGAGCUGGGUUAUUUGUGACUUAUAAGCACCAUUUUGCUUCCAUAAGGCUUGAUAAUGAAAAGUCAGAAAAUUGGGGAAGAAGUAGUCUAAGAAAUUAUCAUUCUUUUAUGGGUGGUAGCUAUCAAUUAUAAUAGUUUUUAUAUUUCAUAUUAAAAAUGACAGAACAUGAAGACAUUUUCCCAAACAAUUUCUCUCCAUAGAAAGGAAAAUAGAACAAUUAAUAAUAUGAUUGUGAAAACAAAAAUCGCAAAGUAACUGUAGAAAACAAAAACACAGACACUAAAUAUAACUCUUUAAAGCUUCCACGACACUCAGGGCAGAGGCAACGCAGCCAUCGAAGUUGGAGUGAGUGAAUCCAUCCCCUCCACACACCAGGAAAGGGUUGAGAUGAAGAGUCAUCUGGCCGGGACUGUUGGCAGCUGAGUUUGUAACCUGAAGAAGAAAAAGAAAGAGAAAAAAAUUAUUGGGGCUGACAUUCAGCCAUGGUAAUGCCCACCAGGCUUUUGCUACCUGGAGAAAUUAAAACCUAGAAUAUCCCAGAGGUUCCUCUUGUCAAAAUACUUAAAAUUAUUUCAAUUAUCAAAUAACUGAAAAUGUACCAAUUCUCUGGAUUUGUAGAUACUAUGGCUUGAAUGCUUAUUGACCAUCUCCAAAUUCCUGUGUGCACUCCUAUGCUAGAGAGUUUUAUGCCGACUUGACACAAACUAAAGUCAUCUGAGAAGAAAAAAACCUCAAUUAACAAUAACCUGGGCUUGUGUGACAGUGACCUGGGAUAAGGCAGGCACCCAAGAACCAAUGGGGGUGACCUUAGUUGUGACUCACAGCAUUGGGAAUAUGGAGCCUGAAGAGGCUACCUCCUGUAUUCCAGUAGGAACCCCAGUGGAGAAAUAGGGACACCAAUCCACCCAUAAAACUUUUGACCCAAAAUUUAUUCUGUCUAUAAGCAAUACAGGGAUGGGGGAUAGAGGAGAGACCGAGGGGACCAAUAGCCAGCCCAACUUGAGACCUAUUACAGGGGCAAACACCAAUCCCUGACACUAUGACACUAUUAAUGAUACUCUGCUAUGCUUGUAGACAGGAGUCUAGCAUGGCUGUCCUCUGAGAGGCUCCACCCAGCAGCUGACUCAGACAGGUGCAGACACCCACAGCCAAACAGUGGAUGGAGCUUGGGGACUCUUAUGGAAGAAUAGGGGGAAGGACUGUGGGCCCUGAAGGGUAUAGGAACUUCACAGGACCAAUAGAGUCAACUAACUUGGACCCUUGGGGCUCUCACAGAGUGAACCAUCCAAAGAGCAUACAUGGGCUGGACCUAGGCUUCUCCACUCAUAUGUAGCAGAUGUGCAACCUAACCUUCAUGUGGGUCCCAAAUGACUGGAGUGGGGGCUCUCCCAAAAGCUGUUGCCUAUCUGUGGGAUAUGUUCUUCUAGCUGGGCUGCCUUGUCUGACCUUAGUGGGAGAGGGUAGGCUUAGCCAUGCAGAGGCUUGAAGUGCCAGGGUGGUAGAUAUUUAGGGGCCCCCACCUGCUAGAGGAGAAGGGAUGGAUGGGGGAAGGAUUAUGGGAGGGGGAGGCUGGGAAGCAGGCAGUUGGUGGGAUGUAAAGUGAAUAAGCACAAACAAACAAACAAACAAACAAACAAGGAAUAACCUGGGCUUAUAGGGACCCAGAGAGAUGGAACUGCAAAACAGAGAGUGUGUAUGGGAUGGACCUAGGCUCUUAGCACAUACAUAAGUUGUGCAGCUAGGUUUUUAUGGGGGACUCCUAACAGCAGGAGCAGAGGCUGUAUCUGACUCUGUUGCCUGCCUUUGAAUCACUUUCAGCUAACUGGGCUGCCUUACUUUGCCACAAUGGGAGAAGAUGCACCUAAUUCUACUGGAACUCAGCAUGCCAAGGGAAACUCAAGACGGAUGAUCAAAAUGUGCAUGCUUCACUCCUUCUUUAAAUGAGGAAAAAGAAUACCCUUGGCAGGGAAGGGAGAGGCAAAGAUUAAAACAGAGACUGAAGGAACACCCAUUCAGAGCCUGCCCCACAUGUGGCCCAUACAUAUACAGCCACCCAAUUAGACAAGAUGGAUGAAGCAAAGAAGUGCAGACCGACAGGAGCCGGAUGUAGAUCGCCCCUGAGAGACACAGCCAGAAUAUAGCAAACACAGAGGCGAAUGCCAGCAGCAAACCACUGAAUUGAGAAUAGGUCCCCUGUUGAAGGAAUCAAAGAAAGAACUGGAAGAGCUUGAAGGGGCUCGAGACCCCAAAAGUACAACAAUGCCAAGCAACCAGAGCUUCCAGGGACUAAGCCACUACCUAAAGACUAUACAUGGACUGACCCUGGACUCUGACCCCAUAGGUAGCAAUGCAUAUCCUAGUAAGAGCACCAGUGGAAGGGGAAGCCCUGGGUCCUGCUAAGACUGAACCCCCAGUGAACUAGUCUACGGGGGGAGGGCGGCAAUGGGGGGAGGGUUGGGAGGGGAACACCCAUAAGGAAGGGGAGGGGGGAGGGGGAUGUUUGCCCGGAAACCGGAAAAGGGAAUAACACUCGAAAUGUAUAUAAGAAAUACUCAAGUUAAUAAAAAAAACAAAAAAACAAA